This 127-nucleotide small nucleolar RNA is filed under the name Ovis aries (sheep). RNAcentral's name for it is "Small nucleolar RNA SNORA25 (ENSOARG00000024790.1)". Lineage: Eukaryota; Metazoa; Chordata; Mammalia; Artiodactyla; Bovidae. The record is from RNAcentral.
AGGUCAUUGCAAAGAAGGCAAAUGGGACCAAAUCUGGGAACCCUUAAUGCUGUGACCAAAGACUGAGUUCUUCCUUGGGUAUCACAGUCACUCGAGGCUGCUAUGCUUUCCUCAUAGAGAUACAGGC